CAUUGGUGGCGACCGGCGCACGGGUGAGUAACGCGUAUGCAACCUACCUAUCAGAGGGGAAUAACCCGGCGAAAGUCGGACUAAUACCGCAUAAAACAGGGGUUCCACAUGGAAAUAUUUGUUAAAGAAUUAUCGCUGAUAGAUGGGCAUGCGUUCCAUUAGAUAGUUGGUGAGGUAACGGCUCACCAAGUCCACGAUGGAUAGGGGUUCUGAGAGGAAGGUCCCCCACACUGCUACUGAGACACGGACCAGACUCCUACGGGAGGCAGCAGUGAGGAAUAUUGGUCAAUGGGCGAGAGCCUGAACCAGCCAAGUCGCGUGAAGGAUGAAGGAUCUAUGGUUUGUAAACUUCUUUUAUAUGGGAAUAAAGUGAGGAACGUGUUCCUUUUUGUAUGUACCAUAUGAAUAAGCAUCGGCUAACUCCGUGCCAGCAGCCGCGGUAAUACGGAGGAUGCGAGCGUUAUCCGGAUUUAUUGGGUUUAAAGGGUGCGUAGGUGGUUAAUUAAGUCAGCGGUGAAAGUUUGUGGCUCAACCAUAAAAUUGCCGUUGAAACUGGUUGACUUGAGUAUAUUUGAGGUAGGCGGAAUGCGUGGUGUAGCGGUGAAAUGCAUAGAUAUCACGCAGAACUCCGAUUGCGAAGGCAGCUUACUAAACUAUAACUGACACUGAAGCACGAAAGCGUGGGGAUCAAACAGGAUUAGAUACCCUGGUAGUCCACGCAGUAAACGAUGAUUACUAGCUGUUUGCGAUACACAGUAAGCGGCACAGCGAAAGCGUUAAGUAAUCC
RNAcentral lists this ribosomal RNA (787 nucleotides) under uncultured bacterium. RNAcentral's name for it is "bacterial SSU rRNA". It matches the Rfam family "Bacterial small subunit ribosomal RNA", at positions 83 to 870 of the family's 1533-position model. The record is from RNAcentral.